GAUGGCGACCGGCGCACGGGUGAGUAACACGUAUCCAACCUGCCGAUGACUCGGGGAUAGCCUUUCGAGAGAAAGAUUAAUACCCGAUGGCAUAGUUCUUCCGCAUGGUAGAACUAUUAAAGGAUUUCGGUCAUCGAUGGGGAUGCGUUCCAUUAGGUUGUUGGCGGGGUAACGGCCCACCAAGCCUUCGAUGGAUAGGGGUUCUGAGAGGAAGGUCCCCCACAUUGGAACUGAGACACGGUCCAAACUCCUACGGGAGGCAGCAUG
Molecule: ribosomal RNA, 267 nt
Filed under: uncultured bacterium
Lineage: Bacteria
Description: partial 16S ribosomal RNA
Rfam family: Bacterial small subunit ribosomal RNA
Source: RNAcentral